RNAcentral lists this ribosomal RNA (451 nucleotides) under Vibrio parahaemolyticus. Its description in RNAcentral is "bacterial SSU rRNA". It matches the Rfam family "Bacterial small subunit ribosomal RNA", at positions 78 to 528 of the family's 1533-position model. Lineage: Bacteria; Pseudomonadati; Pseudomonadota; Gammaproteobacteria; Vibrionales; Vibrionaceae. The record is from RNAcentral.
GAUAACGGCGUCGAGCGGCGGACGGGUGAGUAAUGCCUAGGAAAUUGCCCUGAUGUGGGGGAUAACCAUUGGAAACGAUGGCUAAUACCGCAUGAUGCCUACGGGCCAAAGAGGGGGACCUUCGGGCCUCUCGCGUCAGGAUAUGCCUAGGUGGGAUUAGCUAGUUGGUGAGGUAAGGGCUCACCAAGGCGACGAUCCCUAGCUGGUCUGAGAGGAUGAUCAGCCACACUGGAACUGAGACACGGUCCAGACUCCUACGGGAGGCAGCAGUGGGGAAUAUUGCACAAUGGGCGCAAGCCUGAUGCAGCCAUGCCGCGUGUGUGAAGAAGGCCUUCGGGUUGUAAAGCACUUUCAGUCGUGAGGAAGGCGGUGUAGUUAAUAGCUGCAUCGUUUGACGUUAGCGACAGAAGAAGCACCGGCUAACUCCGUGCCAGCAGCCGCGGUAAUACGG